GUGGGGAAUUUUGGACAAUGGGCGCAAGCCUGAUCCAGCAAUGCCGCGUGCAGGAAGAAGGCCUUCGGGUUGUAAACUGCUUUUGUACGGAACGAAACGGUCCGGGUUAAUACCCUGGGCUAAUGACGGUACCGUAAGAAUAAGCACCGGCUAACUACGUGCCAGCAGCCGCGGUAAUACGUAGGGUGCAAGCGUUAAUCGGAAUUACUGGGCGUAAAGCGUGCGCAGGCGGUUUUGUAAGACAGGCGUGAAAUCCCCGGGCUCAACCUGGGAAUUGCGCUUGUGACUGCAAGGCUGGAGUGCGGCAGAGGGGGAUGGAAUUCCGCGUGUAGCAGUGAAAUGCGUAGAUAUGCGGAGGAACACCGAUGGCGAAGGCAAUCCCCUGGGCCUGCACUGACGCUCAUGCACGAAAGCAUGGGGAUCAAACAGGAUUAGAAACCCGUGUAGUCC
Molecule: ribosomal RNA, 450 nt
Filed under: uncultured bacterium
Lineage: Bacteria
Description: partial 16S ribosomal RNA
Rfam family: Bacterial small subunit ribosomal RNA
Source: RNAcentral